GCCAGGCUAAGGGGAGGUCACACCACUCCCUUCCUCCAGUGUGACGGAUAUCCUGUCAUCCGUGUGCACAUGCAUGAACUCAAAGCACCUGUGGCCACCAGGUGACGCUGGUUCUCUGUGUUUCCCUUCUGGCUUCCCUGUGAGGACAGAAGGUAUCGCAAGACAGGGAGUCCAGAGAUACUACCACCCUCCUGGCCAGUAAGGGCAGAGAUCCAGGAAUCCCCACCCCUCCUUUUUGCCCAAAGUUUAGGAAGAAAAGUGAAUAAUUAGACACUUAUUAUUCAUGAGAUAUGUACUGUCUACCUAGCUGGGGUGGGGGGAAAAGAGUGGGCACUGUGGAUAGAAUGUGAGUCAUGUUGAUGGUGACACUGCUCUGGCUGCAUGUAUCCCUUCCCUGCCCAUAAGUCCAUGGUUUGAGAGAACAAUGUCCAGAGAGAAGAUGAGAGCAGAAAGAACCAUAGUCAGAGUAGACAAAUUGAUACCCUCACGUUCAACACACCUCCAGGGCCCAAGAGUCCUGCUUCCUAAUAAGCAACAUGUAUUUUUGAGUGUCCUCCUUCCACAAAAAUCACAGCAGCCUGUACUGAAUCAAGUUCAGGUGACUGAGCUGGGGGUCCAGACAGGUAGGGGUGAACAGCAAGACCAAU
Molecule: long non-coding RNA, 647 nt
Filed under: Bos taurus (domestic cattle)
Lineage: Eukaryota; Metazoa; Chordata; Mammalia; Artiodactyla; Bovidae
Description: long non-coding RNA NONBTAT020662
Source: RNAcentral